RNAcentral lists this ribosomal RNA (320 nucleotides) under uncultured bacterium. Its description in RNAcentral is "bacterial SSU rRNA". It matches the Rfam family "Bacterial small subunit ribosomal RNA", at positions 8 to 334 of the family's 1533-position model. The record is from RNAcentral.
AGGGUUUGAUUAUGGCUCAGAUUGAACGCUGGCGGCAGGCCUAAUACAUGCAAGUCGAACGGUAACAUAAGAAAAGCUUGCUUUUCUUGAUGACGAGUGGCGGACGGGUGAGUAAUAUUUGGGAAACUACCUGAUAGAGGGGGACAACAGUUGGAAACGACUGCUAAUACCGCAUACAGCCUCAGGGUGAAAGAAGCGAUUCGCUAUCAGAUGUGCCCAAACGGGAUUAGCUAGUAGGUGAGGUAAAGGCUCACCUAGGCGACGAUCUCUAGCUGGUCUGAGAGGAUGAUCAGCCACAUUGGGACUGAGACACGGCCCAG